CCUACGGGAGGCAGCAGUGGGGAAUUUUGGACAAUGGGGGCAACCCUGAUCCAGCAAUGCCGCGUGAGUGAAGAAGGCCUUCGGGUUGUAAAGCUCUUUUGUCAGGGAAGAAACGGUNGUAGCUAAUAUCUACUACUAAUGACGGUACCUGAAGAAUAAGCACCGGCUAACUACGUGCCAGCAGCCGCGGUAAU
RNAcentral lists this ribosomal RNA (194 nucleotides) under uncultured bacterium. Its description in RNAcentral is "partial 16S ribosomal RNA". It matches the Rfam family "Bacterial small subunit ribosomal RNA", at positions 338 to 524 of the family's 1533-position model. The record is from RNAcentral.